This 459-nucleotide ribosomal RNA is filed under the name uncultured bacterium. RNAcentral's name for it is "partial 16S ribosomal RNA". It matches the Rfam family "Bacterial small subunit ribosomal RNA", at positions 338 to 795 of the family's 1533-position model. The record is from RNAcentral.
CCUACGGGUGGCUGCAGUGAGGAAUAUUGGUCAAUGGACGAGAGUCUGAACCAGCCAAGUAGCGUGAAGGAUGACUGCCCUAUGGGUUGUAAACUUCUUUUAUAUGGGAAUAAAACAGGGUAUGCAUACCCUCUUGUAUGUACCAUAUGAAUAAGGAUCGGCUAACUCCGUGCCAGUAGCCGCGGUAAUACGGAGGAUCCGAGCGUUAUCCGGAUUUAUUGGGUUAAAAGGGAGCGUAGGUGGAUUGUUAAGUCAGUUGUGAAAGUUUGCGGCUAAACCGUAAAAUUGCAGUUGAAACUGGCAGUCGUGAGUACAGUAGAGGUGGGCGGAAUUCGUGGUGUAGCGGUGAAAUGCUUAGAUAUCACGAAGAACUCCGAUUGCGAAGGCAGUUCACUGGACUGAAACUGACACUGAUGCUCGAAAGUGUGGGUAUCAAACAGGAUUAGAUACCCCGUAGUC